RNAcentral lists this ribosomal RNA (186 nucleotides) under Escherichia coli. RNAcentral's name for it is "partial 16S ribosomal RNA". It matches the Rfam family "Bacterial small subunit ribosomal RNA", at positions 1 to 180 of the family's 1533-position model. Lineage: Bacteria; Pseudomonadati; Pseudomonadota; Gammaproteobacteria; Enterobacterales; Enterobacteriaceae. The record is from RNAcentral.
AAAUUGAAGAGUUUGAUCAUGGCUCAGAUUGAACGCUGGCGGCAGGCCUAACACAUGCAAGUCGAACGGUAACAGGAAGCAGCUUGCUGCUUCGCUGACGAGUGGCGGACGGGUGAGUAAUGUCUGGGAAACUGCCUGAUGGAGGGGGAUAACUACUGGAAACGGUAGCUAAUACCGCAUAACGUC